ACAUACGACCACAGGGUGUGGAAAAUAGGGCUUCCCGUCCGCUCAGCCGUACUCAAGCCACACGCCGGGAGGUUAGUAGUUGGGUGGGUGACCACC
This 96-nucleotide ribosomal RNA is filed under the name Aspergillus brasiliensis. The record is from RNAcentral. Lineage: Eukaryota; Fungi; Ascomycota; Eurotiomycetes; Eurotiales; Aspergillaceae.